This is a long non-coding RNA of Serinus canaria (Common canary), 541 nucleotides long. RefSeq lists it as uncharacterized. The transcript has 4 exons. The record is from RefSeq and is a predicted model, not a curated record. Lineage: Eukaryota; Metazoa; Chordata; Aves; Passeriformes; Fringillidae.
AGCAGCAGGAGCUCAACUGGUCAGAAAAGUCAUUUCCUGAGAUAAGAAAUGUAAAAUAAGUGCCAGUGGUGGAGACUUAAUUGCUGCAAAUCUGGAAGACUAUUUCCCUCUUCCUAAACAUCCAAUAUACAUGAAAAGGGAUUUAAGCGCUGAGGAAUUAUUAAAAAAAAAGUAAAAAUAAAAAACCAAGUUGCUGCUUCUUCAACUGGACAGCUCAGGUAAUUCUGGAUUAUUGUAGGAGAGGUGAUGGUGCCUAGAAGAGAAAUUUGGAUCUUCCAGAACAGGGUGGUUUUCUUGAGAAGGACAGGUUCUGGAGGCAGCCUGGGAAAACACAGCCUGGAGGAUGAGUUGUUUUGGGUGGAGAAUGGCUUUUGCCAGGAUUUAUGUUGCCUUUAUGGAGACACAAGGAAUUCUUCUGACAAUUUAAGUCCCUGCACUGAAGUAAGUUGUUCUUUGCCUUUUUUUUUUGUUUGUUUCCCAGUGCUGACAGUAAUUUAGACAGAAAGCACAAAGAUGUUCAACUCUGCUUGGCUGAACUUGU